CCAAAAUAUCAAAACGUUGUAUUGUAGUAUGUGUCCUCCCUUUCUGCCAAAGAAAACAAAGUGUAGUUUAAUCAUUCUUUUCUAGAAACAGUAGUAUACAUUUUGUAUGAAUCUACAGUCCCAAAUAUGAACCACACUUAAUUUUCUUGGUUUAACUAUCUACCCCAUCAAACGUUUCGCUCCGUUUGAAGCUCAUUAGACUGCACAAAAACCAUAUCCUGCCGUACUACCCCAGUACUUCUUUGCAAGCCAACUAAAGUUUACCUCUCUUUUAUUGCUAACAAAUAGGUCAAUAGUUGCAAAUUUUAUUGAAGAAAUUUCUAAAUAGACGGGCGCAGCAACGCGCGCCAUCAAUGAUCUAGUAAUUACUAUUAUGGUUCUGUUAUGCUACGCCCUUGGGCAUGGGGAACACGAGUAGCUAGUGAUUGAAUCAUCUCUGAAGUGUGAAUUGCAAUGACCCUUGUUUGCCUCUUGAUUAUUAAUCCAGUAUAAUAUGCUACUGUUAAACCCUUGGGCUUAGAAAACCCCAAAAGUUAGUGAUUGAAUGAUCUAUGAACUGCAAUUGCUAGUGCCAUGUUUCUUGACUGUUGAUGAUCAUAAUAUGGUUCUGUUAGGUUUAGAGAACUCGAGAAAGUAUUAGUUGAAUGAUCUGUAAAUUGCAAUUGUCCUUUUCUUUGGUUCACAUAAAGAUUCUAAAGGCUCAUUUACAACUGUAUUUAAUAGUUGGUGGGAUUAUGUAUUCUGAAAUAUUGUUGAAAAUCAUCAUUCAUCUACUACUAGCCACUUAUAAUGAGGAACAUGGUGUAAAAGGUUGUGGUGAACUGUCUAAGAUUUAGUUGUGACGAGAUGUUGCUUUCCUUGUAUUACUGAGUGCCACUUAUUGAUUAACGAUAAUAACUCUUAAUUUGGUUUUGAGCUGUUGUUUCCCCUAGGUUUGCUUCAAUAUUGUCUGGAAGUGUAGACCGCUCACUGAGGAUGAAUUGUUUCCUGCCAUUGAAGAGAACUACUAUAUCUCAAAGAAGUUCUACUUCGACCUUUCCUACCAGCAGUGUGUGCGCAUGCUCAACAGGUAGGCAAGCUGCUUCCUAUAGUGACUGAUUGUGGCUCUGCUAGGUUUCUCUACACUGAUAGUGUGCAGUGAGAAGUAUGAUGGGCCAAACAAAUAGUUCUUGUUCACAGUGGUUCAAAUUUAAAUGUUUUAAUUAUAGCUUUUUGUCCCUGUAGUCGAUGUUAAGAAGCGCUUCCUUCAUGAGCUUAGUUUGAUUUGGCCCGGUUUUGAUGCCUCUGCAGUGUGUGCGCAUGCUCAACAAGUACAGUCGCAACAACUCAAUUUCUUCAGAUGUGGCAUAGGAAGUCAUGUCCUCAUGUGCUACUAUUUCUAGAGGUAGACUCCUAAUCAAAUAAAAGUUUGUUGUCUGAUUCAUGAUACAAUAUUUGUGCUUGGUGGAAUAAAUCUCCAAGAUGACUUAAUUCAUUUUGUUAGUUGAAUGGUACGACCAUAUGAAUAGCAUAUGCUUGUACCACAUAUAAUCUAGGCUGCCCGGAAGUGCAGUAAAAAAUAGGGAUAUGAUGAGCUGGGGUUAGAAGUUCACAGUGUUGAAUAGAGAAUCAGGCUUUUUUCUUGAAUUAUUUGAAGUAGAUCAUAUGUAAAACUUCAAAUAAUUUUUGAACCCACCAGAUAUUGCAGUGUGAACUACUACUUCAACUUGAAAAGCGUCAAUGAUCUUUUCAUAGUUGUUAAUUGUUAGCUUAUCUACUAAUUGUGGCUUUAUUUCCUGUUUGGUAAAACCAGGAUAGCUUUAUUGUAAACUGCACCUAUGCAAUGGUGAUGGGUUUCAAGGUUUUUCUUGAGAAGCAAAGAUGACAAGCUUUCUUGUUUCCAUAAAAGCUUGCAACUUUGUUUAGAUGGUAGAGGGGCCAAGAAAAUAGAUGAGCAGCAUGGUGGUGAUGACAGGGGCCGCAUAGUGUUUGCUUGCCGAGAUAACUUAUUUUGUUUACUUAUUUAUCUUUUCUUGCUUGCAAUAUUAUGCUCAGUUCUCCACUAGCUGAGUUGAUGUUUGGUUUUCUCACAUAGAUGAACUUCUCCUAGGCUGGUUUGUAGGUCAAAGAAAUUUGAUGAUCGAUACACCUUUUGUUCCAGCAAUAUUAUAUUGUCCUAUCAUUUUUGUGAUGUUGGUUUUGUUGCAUAUUUAAACUUUAAUAUGUAUGUUUGUUGUAGCAUGCCGAAGCAGGCGAUGUGUCAUGUCCCGCGCGGCAGCCUCCCCGAUCCGCCUCGGCACCCACAUCAAGUCCUCUCGGUCUACCUCCUCCAUCAUGUAGCAUGGUUUUGAGCGGCCAGGUGUCCCAGAUUGACAGCGACGGCGGCAUGAGGGUGUGAUAAAAUAAUAAUUAGCAGUAACAUGCACUAAUAUGAGGUUUAGCACCAGGGGUAACUUUAUGCAAUCACACUUAGUAAGCAG
This 2459-nucleotide long non-coding RNA is filed under the name Triticum aestivum (bread wheat). RNAcentral's name for it is "long non-coding RNA (TAES_LNC001112)". Lineage: Eukaryota; Viridiplantae; Streptophyta; Magnoliopsida; Poales; Poaceae. The record is from RNAcentral.